ACAAAAUUACUAAUAAAAAAUUGGUACAUAAUUGUUGUUUAUACUAAUUUACAGUUGACAGUUAUGGACGAAAUGUUUCGGGAAAAAAGAGGCGGCGGAGUUAGUCAGGCUCAAAUGGUAAAAUUACUAGAAUUAUUAGGCGGAAACAGAAUUUUAUUAACGGCAAGUUAUAUAACAAAAUGUGAGCAGACACACUUUUUGGAAACGCAUUGUGAUACAACAAAAUAAUGUUGAUAAUGGAGUUCAAAAGAAUGUUUACAAAUGGUGUAAAGUAAUGGUGUAAACUGAUCCAAUGAAAGAUAAAGAAAGGAGACAAUACAUCAGAAGAAUGUAAUUAAGAUUGGAAGCAAUUGAACUAAAAUUAAAGGGUGAUAAGUUAAAGCUAAAAGAAAUUGAAGUGAAUAAAGUAAGCUUUCUGUCACAUAGUGAAGAAGAAAAUUGAAGUGCAUGAAGGAUUUAUCAUAUUCUUAAAAAGAGUUGCUGGAAUGGGCUUAAUAGGUUUUGUUUCGUCUUGUAAAUGAUAGGGAAGAAAAUAAUGA
This is a long non-coding RNA of Nymphalis io (European peacock), 539 nucleotides long. RefSeq lists it as uncharacterized. The transcript is spliced from 3 exons. The record is from RefSeq and is a predicted model, not a curated record. Lineage: Eukaryota; Metazoa; Arthropoda; Insecta; Lepidoptera; Nymphalidae.